GUGGGCAUAGUUCAGUGGCAGAGUGCAUGCUUAGCAUGCACAAGGUCCUGGGUUCAACCCCCAGUACCUCCA
Molecule: transfer RNA, 72 nt
Filed under: Camelus bactrianus (Bactrian camel)
Lineage: Eukaryota; Metazoa; Chordata; Mammalia; Artiodactyla; Camelidae
Also listed under: 2 other names
Rfam family: tRNA
About the family: Transfer RNA (tRNA) molecules are approximately 80 nucleotides in length. Their secondary structure includes four short double-helical elements and three loops (D, anti-codon, and T loops).
Source: Rfam by way of RNAcentral